GGCAGUGCUAGCUCAGUGGAUAAGACACUAGACUUCUGCCUGGAAGGUCAUGAGUUCAAAUCCCAGCGCUGCCA
Molecule: non-coding RNA, 74 nt
Organism: Pangasianodon gigas (Mekong giant catfish)
Lineage: Eukaryota; Metazoa; Chordata; Actinopteri; Siluriformes; Pangasiidae
Source: the annotation of a GenBank genome assembly